UUCUUUUUCCCCCGAAUUCCCUAAUCAACUCGCGAGCCUUCCUUCUUCCCCCGUGAAUUUUGUGCUGUGCCAAAACUGCUCCGAGGCAGUUCCUUUCUCUCCUCCUCAUCCAUGCCAAGCUGCGCGCUGAUCACCGGCCACAGGAAUCCAGCGUCGUCGCCGUGCCCUAGCGCCCCGCCGACGACCUCUUCCUCUCCUCUGGCCGACGCGACGCCACUGCCCUUCUUUUCCUGCCCUAGCCGGCUGAUCGCCGCCUUGUUCCUUGCUUGAGCAGCCAACUAUCGCCGGGGAUUCUCCUCCCAGUGUCGUGCCCUAGAGCUGAUGCCACCACCGCCGUCUUCACAGCAGCCGAGAGCCUCGUGUCUCUGCCCUAUAGCGCCGUCGCUUCCUCUCUACCCUCUUCCGAUCCGGAGGGUUUCCUUCGUGCCGGCACAGAGCCACCACAGCGAACUUUGGGCCGAUUGCUACAGCCAACAACCACCACUUCUCUGGAUUUACUUUGAUUCGUGCCUUGGCACUGUUGCCGAUUUCAUUUCUUUCCUCUGGUUGCCGGUGGUUUGGGAGUUCUAGUUUGGGAAAUGAAUCGGAUCUUGGAGUUCCUUGCUGUUGAUUGGGGUUACGGGAUUGAAGAGAAGGAGGGAGAGGUUGGAUCCAAUUGCUUGUUGUUCUGUGAAGGUGAUCUUGAAUUCCAGCAGCAGUUGACACUCCGGUGAUUUCCAGCUGUGGGCUACACUCUGAUCACGAGGCGUCAGUGAUUAUCAUCAGAUUUGGACGUUGAUUCGGGACGAGCACUUCGACAUAGAUGUUGAUUAGCUCAGUCUACAUUGGAGG
Zingiber officinale is the source of this 831-nucleotide long non-coding RNA. RefSeq lists it as uncharacterized. The record is from RefSeq and is a predicted model, not a curated record. The transcript is spliced from 3 exons. NCBI's taxonomy places the organism in Eukaryota, Viridiplantae, Streptophyta, Magnoliopsida, Zingiberales, Zingiberaceae.